GGCGGACGGGUGAGUAACACGUGGGAACGUGCCUUUAGGUUCGGAAUAAGCUCGGGAAACUGGGUCUAAUACCGAAUGUGCCCUUCGGGGGAAAGAUUUAUCGCCUUUAGAGCGGCCCGCGUCUGAUUAGCUAGUUGGUGGUGUAAUGGACCCCCAAGGCGACGAUCAGUAGCUGGUCUGAGAGGAUGACCAGCCACAUUGGGACUGAGACACGGCCCAAACUCCUACGGGAGGCAGCAGUGGGGAAUCUUGCGCAAUGGGCGAAAGCCUGACGCAGCCAUGCCGCGUGUAUGAUGAAGGUCUUAGGAUUGUAAAAUACUUUCACCGGUGAAGAUAAUGACUGUAGCCGGAGAAGAAGCCCCGGCUAACUUCGUGCCAGCAGCCGCGGUAAUACGAAGGGGGCUAGCGUUGCUCGGAAUUACUGGGCGUAAAGGGAGCGUAGGCGGACAUUUAAGUCAGGGGUGAAAUCCCAGAGCUCAACUCUGGAACUGCCUUUGAUACUGGGUGUCUUGAGUGUGAUAGAGGUAUGUGGAACUCCGAGUGUAGAGGUGAAAUUCGUAGAUAUUCGGAAGAACACCAGUGGCGAAGGCGACAUACUGGAUCACUACUGACGCUGAGGCUCGAAAGCGUGGGGAGCAAACAGGAUUAGAUACCCUGGUAGUCCACGCCGUAAACG
Molecule: ribosomal RNA, 676 nt
Filed under: Brevundimonas sp. PE-RO9-5
Lineage: Bacteria; Pseudomonadati; Pseudomonadota; Alphaproteobacteria; Caulobacterales; Caulobacteraceae
Description: bacterial SSU rRNA
Rfam family: Bacterial small subunit ribosomal RNA
Source: RNAcentral